Molecule: ribosomal RNA, 253 nt
Filed under: uncultured bacterium
Lineage: Bacteria
Description: partial 16S ribosomal RNA
Rfam family: Bacterial small subunit ribosomal RNA
Source: RNAcentral
UACGUAGGGUGCGAGCGUUGUCCGGAAUUAUUGGGCGUAAAGAGCUCGUAGGCGGCUUGUCGCGUCGGAUGUGAAAGCCCGGGGCUUAACUCCGGGUCUGCAUUCGAUACGGGCAGGCUAGAGUGUGGUAGGGGAGAAUGGAAUUCCCGGUGUAGCGGUGAAAUGCGCAGAUAUCGGGAAGAACACCCGUGGCGAAGGCGGUUCUCUGGGACGGUACUGACGCUGAGACGCGAAAGCGUGGGGAGCAAACAGG